UUUACAUAUACAGUGAAACCUGGGUAAACCGAACCCUGAUAAAACCGAAUUUCAGUUUAAACCGAACAAUUUUCAAAGUCCCACACAAUUUUUAUCAAUUUGCGUUAAUUUAACCUGAUAAUACCGAACCCUGUCAACACCGAAUUCCGAACGCUUUUUGAAGGCUCGUUAGUAAAUUUGUAUUUAAAAACUACCUGUCAAAAUCGGUCGAUAGCAAUCAAAACAAAAAAGUAUUUUUAAUUACUUGCAUGAUUUAAUUAAAUAAACACAGGAUGACCCCGAGGGUAUUUGAGGUUAAAUCAACUAAUGAGUUGUUAUUUCAAACUAAUUAGCAUGUUUGUGUCCAUGCAUUCAGUGAUCAAAUGAUUUUUUUGUGUGAAGAAACGUUAAACUGCCCCGAUCGCCGAAAAGGGCAAGAAAGGAACUUUCCCUGAGAUCAAUCAAGUGCACGUUACUCAACAAUCUCCGACGCAAAUAAUUACGGCCACAAAAUCGUAACUGCCAUUCUAUAGUUAAACUGUUUAAAUAGAUAAUAGUUUUAAAGCCAUUUACUGGAUUAAGAAGUCAUGCAACACAACAAUGUCAAUUGCUUUCGAAUCAUGUUUACGGGAUGUCGGAUUUCCUUUAGAAGCCCUAUAUAUAAUUCAGAUGCUCCUGUAGAUUUUCGUUAGCUAUUUAGCAACGAUAAAGUCCGAGAGUAAACCGGACACCUGCUGUUGUUUCACUCAUCUUGUGGCGAAGUAUCAAUCAGCGGGGACCAGUUUAGUCUGAGAACUCGUGUGUACAGAUAAUUGAAAAUGACGACCUCAAUUCAACUUCGGAAUUGUCAUUUGACAGAGACUUGGAAUCUGAAUUGGUCAGUAAAUUAAGCAAAAUCGAUCCAAUUCGGACAUCAUUGAACAAUUUAUAGUUUCACAACAACGGGCGUGUUUGACAGAGUGGCGUUUGAUUUAUAUAUAAAAAAAAAUGUAGCAAUACGUAUACGUCCAUCUUCAUCUACUUAUAUUUUUACAUUUACAUCAAAAUCAACACAAAAAUAAAAUUGUGGUCUGUUGUGUCACUUAUUAUCCCUUGUCAGUAAGGGCCAAACUUAUUUGAAUGUCGACUUCCGUUUACCUCUACAAUCCGAACACCUGUGAAAACCGAACAAAACGGAAAGUCCCGUGGGUGUUCGGUUUGGACAGGUUUCACUGU
RNAcentral lists this long non-coding RNA (1194 nucleotides) under Mytilus galloprovincialis (Mediterranean mussel). The record is from RNAcentral. Lineage: Eukaryota; Metazoa; Mollusca; Bivalvia; Mytilida; Mytilidae.